GAUGAAGAACGUAGCGAAAUGCGAUAAGUAAUGUGAAUUGCAGAAUUCAGUGAAUCAUCGAAUCCUUGAACGCACAUUGCGCCCGCUAGUAUUCUGGCGGGCAUGCCUGUCCGAGCGUCAUUUCAACCCUCAAGCCCCCGGGCUUGGUGUUGGGGAUCGGCGAGCCUCCGCGCCCGCCGUCCCCUAAAUCUAGUGGCGGUCUCGCUGUAGCUUCCUCUGCGUAGUAGCACACCUCGCACUGGGAAACAGCGCGGCCACGCCGUUAAACCCCCAACUUCUGAACGUUUGACCUCGGAUCAGGUAGGAAUACCCGCUGAACUUAAGCAUAUCAAUAAGCGGAGGA
This 343-nucleotide unclassified non-coding RNA is filed under the name soil metagenome. Its description in RNAcentral is "partial contains 5.8S ribosomal RNA, internal transcribed spacer 2, and large subunit ribosomal RNA". The stretch from base 1 to 120 matches the Rfam family "5.8S ribosomal RNA", at positions 35 to 154 of the family's 154-position model. The record is from RNAcentral.